RNAcentral lists this ribosomal RNA (908 nucleotides) under Mastigosporium rubricosum. RNAcentral describes it as "LSU rRNA". It matches the Rfam family "Eukaryotic large subunit ribosomal RNA", at positions 38 to 964 of the family's 3401-position model. The record is from RNAcentral. Lineage: Eukaryota; Fungi; Ascomycota; Leotiomycetes; Helotiales.
GCAUAUCAUAGCGGAGGAAAAGAAACCAACAGGGAUUACCUCAGUAACGGCGAGUGAAGCGGUAACAGCUCAAAUUUGAAAGCUGGCUCUUUUAGGGUCCGCGUUGUAAUUUGUAGAAGAUGCUUCGGGUGUGGCCCCGGUCUAAGUUCCUUGGAACAGGACGUCAUAGAGGGUGAGAAUCCCGUAUGUGACUGGGUGCUUUCGCUCAUGUGAAGCUCUUUCGACGAGUCGAGUUGUUUGGGAAUGCAGCUCAAAAUGGGUGGUAAAUUUCAUCUAAAGCUAAAUAUUGGCCAGAGACCGAUAGCGCACAAGUAGAGUGAUCGAAAGAUGAAAAGCACUUUGGAAAGAGAGUUAAACAGUACGUGAAAUUGUUGAAAGGGAAGCGCUUGCAACCAGACUUGCGCGCUGAUGAUCAUCCGGGCUUCUGCCCGGUGCACUCGUCUGCGCUCAGGCCAGCAUCGGUUUCGGUGGUGGGAUAAAGGCCUUGGGAAUGUAGCUCCCCUCGGGGAGUGUUAUAGCCCUCGGUGCAAUGCCGCCUACCGGGACCGAGGACCGCGCUUCGGCUAGGAUGCUGGCGUAAUGGUUGUAAGCGACCCGUCUUGAAACACGGACCAAGGAGUCUAACAUCUAUGCGAGUGUUUGGGUGUCAAACCCAUACGCGUAAUGAAAGUGAACGGAGGUGAGAACCCUUAAGGGUGCAUCAUCGACCGAUCCUGAUGUCUUCGGAUGGAUUUGAGUAAGAGCAUAGCUGUUGGGACCCGAAAGAUGGUGAACUAUGCGUGAAUAGGGUGAAGCCAGAGGAAACUCUGGUGGAGGCUCGCAGCGGUUUCUGACGUGCAAAUCGAUCGUCAAAUUUGCGUAUAGGGGCGAAAGACUAAUCGAACCAUCUAGUAGCUGGGUCCUGCCGA